This 1459-nucleotide ribosomal RNA is filed under the name uncultured organism. Its description in RNAcentral is "SSU rRNA". It matches the Rfam family "Bacterial small subunit ribosomal RNA". The record is from RNAcentral.
GCCUAAUACAUGCAAGUAGAACGCUGAAGAGAGGAGCUUGCUCUUCUUGGAUGAGUUGCGAACGGGUGAGUAACGCGUAGGUAACCUGCCUUGUAGCGGGGGAUAACUAUUGGAAACGAUAGCUAAUACCGCAUAACAAUGGAUGACACAUGUCAUUUAUUUGAAAGGGGCAAAUGCUCCACUACAAGAUGGACCUGCGUUGUAUUAGCUAGUAGGUGAGGUAACGGCUCACCUAGGCGACGAUACAUAGCCGACCUGAGAGGGUGAUCGGCCACACUGGGACUGAGACACGGCCCAGACUCCUACGGGAGGCAGCAGUAGGGAAUCUUCGGCAAUGGGGGCAACCCUGACCGAGCAACGCCGCGUGAGUGAAGAAGGUUUUCGGAUCGUAAAGCUCUGUUGUAAGUCAAGAACGAGUGUGAGAGUGGAAAGUUCACACUGUGACGGUAGCUUACCAGAAAGGGACGGCUAACUACGUGCCAGCAGCCGCGGUAAUACGUAGGUCCCGAGCGUUGUCCGGAUUUAUCGGGCGUAAAGCGAGCGCAGGCGGUUUGAUAAGUCUGAAGUUAAAGGCUGUGGCUCAACCAUAGUUCGCUUUGGAAACUGUCAAACUUGAGUGCAGAAGGGGAGAGUGGAAUUCCAUGUGUAGCGGUGAAAUGCGUAGAUAUAUGGAGGAACACCGGUGGCGAAAGCGGCUCUCUGGUCUGUAACUGACGCUGAGGCUCGAAAGCGUGGGGAGCGAACAGGAUUAGAUACCCUGGUAGUCCACGCCGUAAACGAUGAGUGCUAGGUGUUGGAUCCUUUCCGGGAUUCAGUGCCGCAGCUAACGCAUUAAGCACUCCGCCUGGGGAGUACGACCGCAAGGUUGAAACUCAAAGGAAUUGACGGGGGCCCGCACAAGCGGUGGAGCAUGUGGUUUAAUUCGAAGCAACGCGAAGAACCUUACCAGGUCUUGACAUCCCGAUGCUAUUUCUAGAGAUAGAAAGUUACUUCGGUACAUCGGUGACAGGUGGUGCAUGGUUGUCGUCAGCUCGUGUCGUGAGAUGUUGGGUUAAGUCCCGCAACGGGCGCAACCCCUAUUGUUAGUUGCCAUCAUUCAGUUGGGCACUCUAGCGAGACUGCCGGUAAUAAACCGGAGGAAGGUGGGGAUGACGUCAAAUCAUCAUGCCCCUUAUGACCUGGGCUACACACGUGCUACAAUGGUUGGUACAACGAGUUGCGAGUCGGUGACGGCAAGCUAAUCUCUUAAAGCCAAUCUCAGUUCGGAUUGUAGGCUGCAACUCGCCUACAUGAAGUCGGAAUCGCUAGUAAUCGCGGAUCAGCACGCCGCGGUGAAUACGUUCCCGGGCCUUGUACACACCGCCCGUCACACCACGAGAGUUUGUAACACCCGAAGUCGGUGAGGUAACCUUUUGGAGCCAGCCGCCUAAGGUGGGAUAGAUGAUUGGGGUGAAGUCGU